UCCCCGUUACCGGGGCAGUCUAGCUAGAGAAAUUCAACUAACUAUAAGGGUUGCGCUCGUUAAUGGACUUAACCAAACAUCUCACGACACGAGCUGACGACGGCCAUGCAACACCUGUCAUCGGGUUCCCGAAGGCACGGUCUCCUUUCGGAGACUUUCCCGAGAUGUCAAACCCUGGUAAGGUUCUUCGCUUAUCGUCGAAUUAAACAACACGCUCCACCGCUUGUGCGGGUCCCCGCCAAUUCCUUUAUGUUUUAAGCUUGCGCUCGUACUCCACAGGCGGGAUGCUUAACGCGUUAGCUUCGAUACUGCGUGCCAAAUUGCACCCAACAUCCAGUUCGCAUCGUUUAGGGCGUGGACUAC
Molecule: unclassified non-coding RNA, 363 nt
Filed under: uncultured bacterium
Lineage: Bacteria
Description: contains 16S-23S intergenic spacer region
Source: RNAcentral